RNAcentral lists this ribosomal RNA (496 nucleotides) under uncultured marine eukaryote. RNAcentral describes it as "SSU rRNA". It matches the Rfam family "Eukaryotic small subunit ribosomal RNA", at positions 616 to 1122 of the family's 1831-position model. The record is from RNAcentral.
CAGUUAAAAAGCUCGUAGUUGGAUUUCGGGUGUGGGGCGCCGGUCCGCUUCGGUGUGCACUGGCGGCCCAGGCCUUCUUGUCGGGGAUGCGCUCUGGUAUUGAUUUAUCGGACGCAGAGUCGGCGCAGUUACUUUGAAAAAAUUAGAGUGUUCAAAGCAGGCUUUCGCUUGAAUACAUUAGCAUGGAAUAACAUGAUAGGACUCCGAUCCCAUUGUGUUGGUCUUCGGGACUGGAGUAAUGAUUAAGAGGGACAGUUGGGGGCAUUCGUAUUUCAUUGUCAGAGGUGAAAUUCUUGGAUUUAUGAAAGACGAACUUCUGCGAAAGCAUUUGCCAGGGAUGUUUUCAUUAAUCAAGAACGAAAGUUGGGGGCUCGAAGAUGAUUAAGAUACCAUCGUAGUCUCAACCAUAAACGAUGCCGACUAAGGAUUGGCGGAUGUUACUUGAUGACUUCGCCAGCACCUGUGAGAAAUCAAAGUCUUUGGGUUCCGGGGGGGA